RNAcentral lists this transfer RNA (72 nucleotides) under Vicugna pacos (alpaca). RNAcentral describes it as "tRNA-Ala (AGC) (tRNA-Ala-AGC-30-1)". It matches the Rfam family "tRNA". From Rfam's summary of the family: Transfer RNA (tRNA) molecules are approximately 80 nucleotides in length. Lineage: Eukaryota; Metazoa; Chordata; Mammalia; Artiodactyla; Camelidae. The record is from Rfam by way of RNAcentral.
GGGGGUAUAGCUCAGAGGUAGAGUGUGUGCUUAGCAUGCACAAGGUCCUGGGUUCAAUCCCCAGUAUCUCCA